AUCCAGCUGACAAGUCCCAAAUAGGACGAAACUUGCGUCUUGAAU
Molecule: non-coding RNA, 45 nt
Filed under: Schistosoma mansoni
Lineage: Eukaryota; Metazoa; Platyhelminthes; Trematoda; Strigeidida; Schistosomatidae
Source: RNAcentral